Long non-coding RNA from Toxotes jaculatrix (banded archerfish), 293 nucleotides. RefSeq lists it as uncharacterized. The record is from RefSeq and is a predicted model, not a curated record. The transcript has 3 exons. NCBI's taxonomy places the organism in Eukaryota, Metazoa, Chordata, Actinopteri, Toxotidae.
GGCUCCUCAGCUGUCUGCCACGUCGAGCUCCGUGAGGAUCAUAGCGUGUCUAACUUGCUGUACUUUAUGCUGUAACACUCCGGACGGUUUCAGGAGACGCGGCGGAGGAGCGGGCCGAAGCUAACUUCUCAGCACUCUGACUCAGCUACUCAUCCUCAGGAGCCAGAAGCUCAUAGACAGACCAUCAACCCGUGAGAUAGGCAGAUUCAUAUGAAGGAGACGAAGGUUUUUAAAAUCAUCACACAACUGGAGCCACAAGGUUCCUUGUGAGUGAAGACAGAGAGCAAACGGCU